RNAcentral lists this ribosomal RNA (497 nucleotides) under uncultured bacterium. RNAcentral's name for it is "partial 16S ribosomal RNA". It matches the Rfam family "Bacterial small subunit ribosomal RNA", at positions 28 to 507 of the family's 1533-position model. The record is from RNAcentral.
GAUGAACGCUGGCGGCGUGCCUAAUACAUGCAAGUCGAGCGAACAGACGAGGAGCUUGCUCCUCUGACGUUAGCGGCGGACGGGUGAGUAACACGUGGAUAACCUACCUAUAAGACUGGGAUAACUUCGGGAAACCGGAGCUAAUACCGGAUAAUAUAUUGAACCGCAUGGUUCAAUAGUGAAAGACGGUUUUGCUGUCACUUAUAGAUGGAUCCGCGCCGCAUUAGCUAGUUGGUAAGGUAACGGCUUACCAAGGCAACGAUGCGUAGCCGACCUGAGAGGGAGAUCGGACACACUGGAACUGAGACACGGUCCAGACUCCGACGGGAGGCAGCAGUAGGGAAUCUUCCGCGAUGGGCGAAAGCCGGACGGAGCAACGCCGCGUGAGUGAUGAAGGUCUUCGGAUCGUAAAACUCUGUUAUUAGGGAAGAACAAAUGUGUAAGUAACUAUGCACGUCUUGACGGUACCUAAUCAGAAAGCCACGGCUAACUACGUG